Molecule: small nuclear RNA, 346 nt
Filed under: Castor canadensis (American beaver)
Lineage: Eukaryota; Metazoa; Chordata; Mammalia; Rodentia; Castoridae
Description: 7SK RNA (ENSCCNG00000020076.1)
Rfam family: 7SK RNA
About the family: 7SK was discovered as an abundant small nuclear RNA in the mid-70s but a possible function has only recently been suggested.
Source: Rfam by way of RNAcentral
GAAUGUGAGGGUGGUCUGGCUGGGUCAACUGUCAUCCAUCCCAAAUGAUCAACAGGUUUGAUUCAGCUAAUAUGGCUGACUAGACAGGUGUCCCCUUCCUUCCUCACCAUUCCAUAUGUGUCUCUCCUAAAGCUAUCUGUAGUGGAAGAAGAUAACCUUCCCGGUAGAGGAGCACUGUUCUUUGGCCAAAGAUAUGUGAGUAGCUGUGCUCUCCUGUUAGAACCUCUAAAUAAGCACUCAAGGAGGUGAACUAUCUAUGCACUGAAGACUAUAAAAUAUAGAUGAAGGAACUUGAAGAGAAUUCAAAGAAAUGGAAAGGUAUUUUUUUAAGUGGGAAAUAUUAUUU